AUUUAAAUAGUUUAUAUAAAAUUUUGAUUUGUGGGGUCAAAGAAAUUAACAAUUAAUUUUAAAUA
RNAcentral lists this transfer RNA (65 nucleotides) under Osphya sp. n. RNAcentral describes it as "tRNA-His". The record is from RNAcentral. Lineage: Eukaryota; Metazoa; Arthropoda; Insecta; Coleoptera; Melandryidae.